UAUGAUGAAUUUGUUGUUUGAUGAUGAAAAAUAAAUCUUUGAUGUUCGAUUAUCAUGUUUAAAUAAGUGAUUUUUUAUAAAAAUCUAAAUUAUAGAUUUCUUUGUGGAAUUUGAAAAUUUAGGGGCUUAAAUGUGAAAUAAAUGAAAUAUAUGGGCUGCUAGGGACCAUAGAAGAUUCGGCUAAGGCAUGGUUUUGAUGAAUUUUGUGUAUUUGGUGUAUUUUUGUAUUAAGGACUAAAAUGUCCAAAAUGUGAAAUUUGAGGGCUAAAGUGUAAAUGCCCUAAUUAGGUGUUUAUGGAUUGAAUUAAAUGAGAUGUGUUAUUAAAUAGCCAAAUUUGAACUUAUUUAGAUCAAGAAAAGAGGAAAUCGGAUUUUGAUUAGGGAAA
RNAcentral lists this long non-coding RNA (386 nucleotides) under Gossypium barbadense (sea-island cotton). RNAcentral's name for it is "long non-coding RNA (GBAR_LNC021562)". Lineage: Eukaryota; Viridiplantae; Streptophyta; Magnoliopsida; Malvales; Malvaceae. The record is from RNAcentral.